RNAcentral lists this ribosomal RNA (384 nucleotides) under uncultured bacterium. RNAcentral describes it as "bacterial SSU rRNA". It matches the Rfam family "Bacterial small subunit ribosomal RNA", at positions 30 to 417 of the family's 1533-position model. The record is from RNAcentral.
AUUGAACGCUGGCGGCAUGCCUUACACAUGCAAGUCGAACGGCAGCGGACCUUCGGGUGCCGGCGAGUGGCGAACGGGUGAGUAAUAUAUCGGAACGUACCUUUCAGUGGGGGAUAACGUAGCGAAAGUUACGCUAAUACCGCAUAUUCUGUGAGCAGGAAAGCAGGGGAUCGCAAGACCUUGCGCUGAUUGAGCGGCCGAUAUCAGAUUAGCUAGUUGGUGAGGUAAAGGCUCACCAAGGCGACGAUCCGUAGCGGGUCUGAGAGGAUGAUCCGCCACACUGGAACUGAGACACGGUCCAGACUCCUACGGGAGGCAGCAGUGGGGAAUUUUGGACAAUGGCGCAAGCCUGAUCCAGCCAUGCCGCGUGAGUGAAGAAGGCCU